This 107-nucleotide non-coding RNA is filed under the name Nocardioides sp. RNAcentral's name for it is "Glycine sequence". It matches the Rfam family "Glycine riboswitch aptamer". Rfam says of the family: This family represents the bacterial glycine riboswitch. Glycine riboswitches usually consist of two metabolite-binding aptamers domains with similar structures in tandem. The aptamers cooperatively bind glycine to regulate the expression of downstream genes. The record is from RNAcentral. RNAcentral also lists the same sequence under 1 other name. Lineage: Bacteria; Bacillati; Actinomycetota; Actinomycetes; Propionibacteriales; Nocardioidaceae.
CAAUCCCGCACGGGAGAGUCUUCUCGGCUGCCGGCUGGUGGUCGUGGAGCGCCGAAGGGGCAACCCCUCCCCGGAACCUCUCAGGCGCCAAGGACCGUGCGGGCUGG